RNA transcript from Dendroctonus ponderosae (mountain pine beetle), 2070 nucleotides. RefSeq lists it as uncharacterized. The record is from RefSeq and is a predicted model, not a curated record. NCBI's taxonomy places the organism in Eukaryota, Metazoa, Arthropoda, Insecta, Coleoptera, Curculionidae. The transcript has 4 exons.
AUUGUGACAACGCAUUUAAAACUAAUAAAGAUUUAAUGGACCAUUUGAGAUUAAUUAAUUCAAUGAAGUUUGAAAUAGAGAGCCUUGCCAUGGGAAAUAUGAAUUCUACAUUUGCAAUUUUAGCAAGGCUGUUGAUCUGCAAUUAUUUAAUUAUGUCAAUAAAAUCAAGAUUACCAAGUUAUAACCUUUUGUUUUUAGAUUUUGAGAGCUGGAAAUCCAAUAUUGAAUGUUUCAACAAAUGCUCCUAUGUUUUCAAAAGUAGACAUGCAAGUACUGUUAACGAAAUAGUGUCUUAUAAGUGUAAUAGGAGUAAAAUAAGUCAUGUUCUUAAAUCGAAUGAUCAAAGAAGUAGAUUAUUAAAAAGUGCCGGAUCAUGUAAGAUGAGUAGUGCUUGUACUAGUGAGAUCAAAGUGAUGAAAGAAAAUAACAAAGUUGUUGUACAAUGGCAAAAAGUCCAUUAUGGUCAUAAGGUUGAGAUACAACACAUUAGAUUGCCACAGAGAGAAAAACAAGAUGUUGCCCCAAAGAUUAUAAAUGGUGUUGUAUCUCAAAGAAUUUUAGAAUAUACACGAGAUGAUAUUGGGGCGCAUUUGAAGCGAAUAGAUUUGUUGACAUUAAAAGACAUCCAAAAGCAGUUAUGGUCUUGAGAUAAAGGAUGGCAAGAGAGACUCAAAUGAUGCUUUAUCUGUAGCACUUUGGGUACGAGAAUGUGAACGUCUCAAAGAUAACCCAAUUUUAUUCUAUAAAGCACAAGGAAAUGAGCAUGAUAUUUAAAAAAAAGACGAUUUUUGUUUAAUAGUAAUGAACACGUUCCAAAAACAAAUGAUUCAACAAUUUCCAUAUACAAUAACCAUUGAUAGUACCCAUGGGCUGAAUGGGUACGACUUUGAACUAACAACCAUUAUGGUACUAGAUGAAUACCAUCAUGGGUUUCCUGUUGCUGAAAUGUUUACAAAUAGGAAAGAUACCGUAGUGCAAAGUAUUUUCUUUUCAGCAAUAAAGAAGUCAGUAGAUAUGGCUGAAGUAUUUUUCAAUGCGUGGUUUGGGCUGAUGGAACUACCUUGUCCUUAACAUUUAUAUUGCUCUUGGCACGUUGACAGGGCAUGGCAGAACAAUUUAAGUAAAAUUGCUGACAAAGACAAACGUGCGGAAAUAUACAAAAUAUUAAAAAAUUUACAGCAAGAAACAUCCGAAGCAAAUUUUGCUUCAGCUUUAGACGAUGCUCUAAGUUACAUGCAUAACAACGAAAAAACGACAUGUUUUGGUGAAUACUUUACCAAUACUUAUAGCCACAAUUUUAGAAAAUGGGCCUACUGUUUUAGAGGAGAUUCUAUCAUUAACACUAAUAUGCAUUUGGAAUCUAUGCACAAAACUAUAAAAUAUUUUUACUUGGAUAGAAAAACUGUAAAACGCCUGGAUAAAGGUUUAAACGCUGUAUUAAAGUAUGUUCGUGAUAAAAGUGUUGAAAGGAUCAUCAGAUUAGUCAAAAGUGAACAUACUAAACAAACAAGGUUAUUAUGUCAGAAUCACCAAAAAGCACUGAAAACUAGGAAUGAAUAUGUUUUAUCAAAAAAUCGUACAAAUUGGAUAAUUUUUAAAAAUGGAAAUAGUAGUUCGUAUUAUACUAUUAAUCAGGUAUUACAGUCAAAAUGCUGUCAACAAAUAUGCUUGUUUUGUGACACAUGUAGUCAUAUGUUUUCUUGUGAGUGCAAUUACUAUAAAGAGCGGAAGGCUAUGUGUAAACAUAUUCAUAUAGUAAUAGCAGCAUUUGGUAAUAAGAAAACAGAAGAUGGUCCAAUAAUCGGUUCUAUUGAUAGUGCUGAUAAAGAAAUAUCAAUCCAGGAAGGUCUAUCAGCUAUCUCGCAAAAAAAUGAAAAAGAAAUAUCAAUCCAGGAAGGUCUAUCAGCUCUCUCGCAAGAAAAUGAAAAAGAAAUAUCAAUCCUGGAAGGUCUAUCAGCUCUCUCGCAAAAACAUGAAAAUUCUAGUACAAAAAUAAGUCACAUUAACACUCUUUUAGGAAAAUUACAAAGUAUAGAUUUUCACAAAAAGUCUUCUAAAAGAUAUAUUGAU